Molecule: ribosomal RNA, 202 nt
Filed under: uncultured bacterium
Lineage: Bacteria
Description: partial 16S ribosomal RNA
Rfam family: Bacterial small subunit ribosomal RNA
Source: RNAcentral
AAUCAACGCUGGCGGCGUGCCUAACACAUGCAAGUCGAACCGCGAAAGUCCCGCAAGGGAUUAGUAGAGUGGCAAACGGGUGAGUAACGCGUGGGUGACCUGCCUUCGAGUGGGGGAUAACGUUUCGAAGGGACGCUAAUACCGCAUGACAUCCUGCCUUUGAAGAGGCGGAGAGUCAAAGCCGGGGAUCGCAAGACCUGGC